UCCGGUUUGUCACCGGCAGUCCCAUUAGAGUGCUCAACUAAAUGUGGCAACUAAUGGCAAGGGUUGCGCUCGUUGCGGGACUUAACCCAACAUCUCACGACACGAGCUGACGACAGCCAUGCAGCACCUAUACAGCGGCCCUUGCGGGCACCAACCUUUCAGCUGGCUUCCACUGCAUUUCGAGCCCAGGUAAGGUUCUUCGCGUUGCGUCGAAUUAAACCACAUGCUCCACCGCUUGUGCAGGCCCCCGUCAAUUUCUUUGAGUUUUAACCUUGCGGCCGUACUCCCCAGGCGGAUGACUUAACGCGUUAGCUGCGCCACCGAAACGCUAAGCGCCCCGACAGCUAGUCAUCAUCGUUUACGGCGUGGACUAC
RNAcentral lists this unclassified non-coding RNA (374 nucleotides) under uncultured Pseudomonadota bacterium. Its description in RNAcentral is "uncultured proteobacterium contains 16S-23S intergenic spacer region". The record is from RNAcentral. Lineage: Bacteria; Pseudomonadati; Pseudomonadota.